UUUUGUUUUUCCGUGUCUAACGUUUGACCAUUCGUCUUAUUUAAAUUUUUUUACGAUUAAUUUUUUUAUUAUUAUUAGAUGAUAAAAUAUGAAUAGUACUUUAUAUGUGACUAUUUUUUUAAGAUUUUGUACAAAAUUUUCAAAUAAGACGAAUGAUCAAACGUUGGACACGAAAAA
Molecule: microRNA precursor, 177 nt
Filed under: Oryza brachyantha (malo sina)
Lineage: Eukaryota; Viridiplantae; Streptophyta; Magnoliopsida; Poales; Poaceae
Description: MIR812 microRNA precursor family
Rfam family: MIR812 microRNA precursor family
Source: Rfam by way of RNAcentral